AUGUUUGAAGCUGCGACGCAUACAACUUACAUUGCGCUAGACUAUGCCAUGGUUGAGCUUAUGCAGAAACCCCAUGUAAUGUCCAAGCUGCAAACGGAGGUGAGGAGGGGCAACACCAAUGGGAAAGAAUUGGUCACCCAAGAAGACCUGGGCAGCCUGACCUACCUGAAGGCAGUAAUGAAAGAGACGUUGCGGCUGCACCCACCAGGACCUCUCUUGGUACCCCACUUUUCCAUGUCCGAUUGCGACGUAGAGGGUUAUAUCAUACCCUCUAGGACACGAGUAGUCAUCAAUGUCCGACUGUGA
This 306-nucleotide ribosomal RNA is filed under the name Triticum aestivum (bread wheat). RNAcentral describes it as "partial small subunit ribosomal RNA". Lineage: Eukaryota; Viridiplantae; Streptophyta; Magnoliopsida; Poales; Poaceae. The record is from RNAcentral.